CAAGUCGAGCGGCAGCGCGGGGCAACCUGGCGGCGAGCGGCGAACGGGUUGAGUAAUGCAUCGGAACGUGUCCAUGUCGUGGGGGAUAGCCCGGCGAAAGCCGGAUUAAUACCGCAUACGCCCGAGAGGGGAAAGUGGGGGACCGCAAGGCCUCACGCGAUUGGAUCGGCCGAUGUCCGAUUAGCUAGUUGGCGGGGUAAGAGCCCACCAAGGCGAUGAUCGGUAGCUGGUCUGAGAGGAUGAUCAGCCACACUGGGACUGAGACACGGCCCAGACUCCUACGGGAGGCAGCAGUGGGGAAUUUUGGACAAUGGGGGCAACCCUGAUCCAGCCAUUCCGCGUGAGUGAAGAAGGCCUUCGGGUUGUAAAGCUCUUUUGUCCGGAACGAAACGGUGGACGUGAAUAUCGUCCACUACUGACGGUACCGGAAGAAUAAGCACCGGCUAACUACGUGCCAGCAGCCGCGGUAAUACGUAGGGUGCGAGCGUUAAUCGGAAUUACUGGGCGUAAAGCGUGCGCAGGCGGUUUUGUAAGCCAGAUGUGAAAUCCCCGGGCUUAACCUGGGAAUGGCAUUUGGGACUGCAAGGCUCGAGUGCGGCAGAGGAGACUGGAAUUCCUGGUGUAGCAGUGAAAUGCGUAGAUAUCAGGAGGAACACCGAUGGCGAAGGCAGGUCUCUGGGCUGACACUGACGCUCAUGCACGAAAGCGUGGGGAGCAAACAGGAUUAGAUACCCUGGUAGUCCACGCCCUAAACGAUGUCGACUGGUUGUUGGGGGUUUGACACUCUCAGUAACGAAGCUAACGCGUGAAGUCGACCGCCUGGGGAGUACGGCCGCAAGGUUAAAACUCAAAGGAAUUGACGGGGACCCGCACAAGCGGUGGAUUAUGUGGAUUAAUUCG
RNAcentral lists this ribosomal RNA (900 nucleotides) under uncultured beta proteobacterium. Its description in RNAcentral is "bacterial SSU rRNA". It matches the Rfam family "Bacterial small subunit ribosomal RNA", at positions 58 to 953 of the family's 1533-position model. Lineage: Bacteria; Pseudomonadati; Pseudomonadota; Betaproteobacteria. The record is from RNAcentral.